This 217-nucleotide unclassified non-coding RNA is filed under the name uncultured Thelephoraceae. RNAcentral's name for it is "sequence contains ITS2". The record is from RNAcentral. Lineage: Eukaryota; Fungi; Basidiomycota; Agaricomycetes; Thelephorales; Thelephoraceae.
ACACCUCAACUCUCACGGCAAGCCGUGAUGAGCUUGGACUUUGGGGGUCUUGCUGGCCUGUUGUCAGCUCCUCUCAAAUGAAUUAGCUUGCCAGUGUUUGGUGGGAUCACAGGUGUGAUAACUAUCUACGCUUGUGGUUCCCCGCCAGGUAACCUUCAGCGAUGGAGGUUUGCUGGAGCUUAUGAAUGUCUCUCCUCUGUGAGGACGAAUUUUGACC